This 773-nucleotide ribosomal RNA is filed under the name uncultured Neocallimastigales. RNAcentral describes it as "partial large subunit ribosomal RNA". It matches the Rfam family "Eukaryotic large subunit ribosomal RNA", at positions 24 to 635 of the family's 3401-position model. The record is from RNAcentral. Lineage: Eukaryota; Fungi; Neocallimastigomycota; Neocallimastigomycetes; Neocallimastigales.
GUAGUCUCGCACAGAUGCAUAUCAAUAAGCGGAGGAAAAGAAACUAACAAGGAUUCCCUUAGUAACGGCGAGUGAAGCGGGAAGAGCUCAAAUUUGAAAUCUUCAAGGUUUUACCUUGACGAAUUGUAGUUUAAAGAAGUGUUUUCCUGUUGAAGUUUUGGUAAAAGUUCUUUGGAAUAGGACAUCACUAGAGGGUGAGAAUCCCGUCUAUGAUUGCGAUUUGUAGCUUUGUGAUACACUUUCAAAGAGUCGGGUUGUUUGGGAAUGCAGCCCAAAACGGGAGGUAAAUUUCUUCUAAGGCUAAAUAUUGGCGAGAGACCGAUAGCGAACAAGUACCGUGAGGGAAAGAUGAAAAGAACUUUGAAAAGAGAGUUAAAUAGUACGUGAAAUUGUCAAAAGGGAAGCGUUUAACACCAGUGUUGUUUUCUGAAAAUCAACCUCUGUUAGCUUUAUGCAUGUUUGUUUAGACCUAAUCAGCUAUCUUGCAUGUUCUAUUGUUUGCAGUGGUGCACUUUUCAGUUUACAGGUCAACAUCAGUUUUUUUUACCGUAAAAAAGUUAAAGAAAGGUAGCUCAUGGCUCCGGUCGUGAGUGUUAUAGUCUUUUUCCUAUGCGGUAGGAGAGACUGAGGUCUGCAGUGUAGGCUAUUUGGCUAGAUACUCAGGUGCUAUGUGAUACCAUUUCAUAAACAACUUGUUGAUUAUGUUUUGUCUAUUGCAUACUCGCUUGUACUAUCAUACCUACGCUUAGGAUGUUGAAGAUGUAGCACAUCAU